UGCAAUCUACCUUAUACUAAGGGAUAGCCCAGAGAAAUUUGGAUUAAUACCUUAUAGAAUAUUGAAAUGGCAUCAUUUAGAUAUUAAAGAUUUAUUGGUAUAAGAUGAGCAUGCGUCCCAUUAGUUAGUUGGUAAGGUAACGGCUUACCAAGACGAUGAUGGGUAGGGGUCCUGAGAGGGAGAUCCCCCACACUGGUACUGAGACACGGACCAGACUCCUACGGGAGGCAGCAGUGAGGAAUAUUGGUCAAUGGGCGCAAGCCUGAACCAGCCAUGCCGCGUGCAGGAUGACGCAUCUAUGGUGUGUAAACUGCUUUUGUACAGGAAGAAACAUCCCGACGAGUCGGGACUUGACGGUACUGUAAGAAUAAGGAUCGGCUAACUCCGUGCCAGCAGCCGCG
This 401-nucleotide ribosomal RNA is filed under the name uncultured Flavobacteriia bacterium. Its description in RNAcentral is "bacterial SSU rRNA". It matches the Rfam family "Bacterial small subunit ribosomal RNA", at positions 120 to 519 of the family's 1533-position model. The record is from RNAcentral. Lineage: Bacteria; Pseudomonadati; Bacteroidota; Flavobacteriia.